Molecule: transfer RNA, 71 nt
Filed under: Marmota monax (woodchuck)
Lineage: Eukaryota; Metazoa; Chordata; Mammalia; Rodentia; Sciuridae
Description: tRNA.Ala
Source: RNAcentral
UGUUCAUGGAGCUCAGUGGUAGAGCACAGGUUUAGCAUGUGGGAGGCCCUGGGUUCAAUUCCCAGUACCAA